UUUCAUCAUAAUAUUUGUUAACCAAUAUUAUACAUGUAUGUAUAAUGUAUGUGUAAAAUAUUCAUGUAAACAUAGUUUAAGCGUUGCAUUUGAUAAUCAUGAGUAAUUUUAAUGUUUUGUCAUUUAGUCUGCAUCUCUCUGGUCUGUACACUUUGACAGCCAUUCUCAAAAGUAUUUCUAUAGGAGCUAAUGUGGCAUAUAUCGCUUGAUUAGAACAUGGAGGUAUUAUACUUCCAUAAUCAGUAGAUGUGUUGAUAGAAGAGUAAAAUUAGUUCCUAUUAACUUGCCAAUACAUUAAGGGGUAUUUUGACAUCUCAGAAAUGAAGUUAUUUAAAUAAAACAUAGCAUGAAUAAAGAAAUUAUAAAUAAAUAAAAAGAAAAA
Molecule: long non-coding RNA, 382 nt
Filed under: Mytilus galloprovincialis (Mediterranean mussel)
Lineage: Eukaryota; Metazoa; Mollusca; Bivalvia; Mytilida; Mytilidae
Source: RNAcentral